This 549-nucleotide ribosomal RNA is filed under the name Platycephalus bassensis (sand flathead). RNAcentral describes it as "partial 16S large subunit ribosomal RNA". It matches the Rfam family "Bacterial large subunit ribosomal RNA", at positions 440 to 1050 of the family's 2925-position model. Lineage: Eukaryota; Metazoa; Chordata; Actinopteri; Perciformes; Platycephalidae. The record is from RNAcentral.
CGCCUCAUAGCUAGCCCGCCCUUUCAACAACAACAAGUCAUUAUUAAUACCCCCAAAUACACAGAACAUCCCUGUAAAACAAACCAUUUUUCCCCCUAAGUAUGAGCGACAGAAAAGGACCUAUGGAGCAAUAGAGAAAGUACCGUAAGGGAACGCUGAAAGAGAAAAUGAAAUAACCCAGCAAAGCCUAAAAAAGCAGAGAUUUAAACUCGUACCUUUUGCAUCAUGAUUUAGCCAGUGAACCCCAAGCAAAGAGAACUUUAGUUUGCCAACCCGAAACUAAGUGAGCUACUUCAAGACAGCCUGAUAACAGGGCAAACCCGUCUCUGUGGCAAAAGAGUGGGAAGAUCUUCAAGUAGAGGUGACAGACCUAUCGAACUUAGUUAUAGCUGGUUGCCCGAGAAAUGAAUAGGAGUUCAGCCUCCCGGCUUCUUUAUUCCCCUACAAUUGAUGUAACACCUGAUAAUGUUAAGAAACCGCGAGAGUUAGUCAAAGGAGGUACAGCCCCUUUGAAACAGACACAACUUUUUCAGGAGGGUAAAGAUCACA